AGUCGAACGGCAGCGCGGGGCAACCUGGCGGCGAGUGGCGAACGGGUGAGUAAUAUAUCGGAACGUACCCUGGAGUGGGGGAUAACGUAGCGAAAGUUACGCUAAUACCGCAUACGAUCUAAGGAUGAAAGUGGGGGAUUCGCAAGAACCUCAUGCUCCUGGAGCGGCCGAUAUCUGAUUAGCUAGUUGGUGGGGUAAAGGCCUACCAAGGCAUCGAUCAGUAGCUGGUCUGAGAGGACGACCAGCCACACUGGAACUGAGACACGGUCCAGACUCCUACGGGAGGCAGCAGUGGGGAAUUUUGGACAAUGGGCGAAAGCCUGAUCCAGCAAUGCCGCGUGAGUGAAGAAGGCCUUCGGGUUGUAAAGCUCUUUUGUCAGGGAAGAAACGGUGAGGGCUAAUAUCCCUUGCUAAUGACGGUACCUGAAGAAUAAGCACCGGCUAACUACGUGCCAGCAGCCGCGGUAAUACGUAGGGUGCAAGCGUUAAUCGGAAUUACUGGGCGUAAAGCGUGCGCAGGCGGUUUUGUAAGUCUGUCGUGAAAUCCCCGGGCUCAACCUGGGAAUUGCGAUGGAGACUGCAAGGCUAGAAUCUGGCAGAGGGGGGUAGAAUUCCACGUGUAGCAGUGAAAUGCGUAGAGAUGUGGAGGAACACCGAUGGCGAAGGCAGCCCCCUGGGUCAAGAUUGACGCUCAUGCACGAAAGCGUGGGGAGCAAACAGGAUUAGAUACCCUGGUAGUCCACGCCCUAAACGAUGUCUACUAGUUGUCGGGUUUUAAUUAACUUGGUAACGCAGCUAACGCGUGAAGUAGACCGCCUGGGGGAGUACGGUCGCAAGAUUAAAACUCAAAGGAAUUGACGGGGACCCGCACAAGCGGUGGAUGAUGUGGAUUAAUUCGAUGCAACGCGAAAAACCUUACCUACCCUUGACAUGUACGGAAGCCACGAGAGAUCGAGGUGUGCUCGAAAGAGAACCGUAACACAGGUGCUGCAUGGCUGUCGUCAGCUCGUGUCGUGAGAUGUUGGGUUAAGUCCCGCAACGAGCGCAACCCUUGUCAUUAGUUGCUACGAAAGAGCACUCUAAUGAGACUGCCGGUGACAAACCGGAGGAAGGUGGGGAUGACGUCAAGUCCUCAUGGCCCUUAUGGGUAGGGCUUCACACGUCAUACAAUGGUACAUACAGAGGGCCGCCAACCCGCGAGGGGGAGCUAAUCCCAGAAAGUGUAUCGUAGUCCGGAUUGUAGUCUGCAACUCGACUACAUGAAGUUGGAAUCGCUAGUAAUCGCGGAUCAGCAUGUCGCGGUGAAUACGUUCCCGGGUCUUGUACACACCGCCCGUCACACCAUGGGAGCGGGUUUUACCAGAAGUAGGUAGCUUAACCGUAA
Molecule: ribosomal RNA, 1384 nt
Filed under: Janthinobacterium agaricidamnosum
Lineage: Bacteria; Pseudomonadati; Pseudomonadota; Betaproteobacteria; Burkholderiales; Oxalobacteraceae
Description: bacterial SSU rRNA
Rfam family: Bacterial small subunit ribosomal RNA
Source: RNAcentral